RNAcentral lists this microRNA (22 nucleotides) under Sarcophilus harrisii (Tasmanian devil). Its description in RNAcentral is "Sha-Mir-7318_3p (mature (guide))". RNAcentral also lists the same sequence under 2 other names. Lineage: Eukaryota; Metazoa; Chordata; Mammalia; Dasyuromorphia; Dasyuridae. The record is from RNAcentral.
AUGCGUAUAGAAAUCUGAGGCC